AGUGAACGCUGGCGGUAGGCCUAACACAUGCAAGUCGAACGGCAGCACAGUAAGAGCUUGCUCUUACGGGUGGCGAGUGGCGGACGGGUGAGGAAUACAUCGGAAUCUACUUUUUCGUGGGGGAUAACGUAGGGAAACUUACGCUAAUACCGCAUACGACCUACGGGUGAAAGCAUGGGAUCUUCGGACUUUGCGCGAUUGAAUGAGCCGAUGUCGGAUUAGCUAGUUGGCGGGGUAAAGGCCCACCAAGGCGACGAUCCGUAGCUGGUCUGAGAGGAUGAUCAGCCACACUGGAACUGAGACACGGUCCAGACUCCUACGGGAGGCAGCAGUGGGGAAUAUUGGACAAUGGGCGCAAGCCUGAUCCAGCCAUACCGCGUGGGUGAAGAAGGCCUUCGGGUUUUAAAGCCCUUUUGUUGGGAAAGAAAAGCAGCAGGUUAAUACCCCGCUGUUCUGACGGUACCCAAAGAAUAAGCACCGGCUAACUUCGUG
RNAcentral lists this ribosomal RNA (492 nucleotides) under uncultured bacterium. Its description in RNAcentral is "partial 16S ribosomal RNA". It matches the Rfam family "Bacterial small subunit ribosomal RNA", at positions 29 to 507 of the family's 1533-position model. The record is from RNAcentral.